GUUGGCUACGUUCGGGAGGGAUAACCGCUGAAAGCAUCUAAGCGGGAAGCCUGCUUCGAGAUGAGGGCUCCCACCCACUUGAUGGGGUAAGGCUCCCAGUAGACGACUGGGUUGAUAGGCCGGAUGUGGAAGCCUCGUGAGGGGUGGAGCUGACCGGUACUAAUAGGCCGAGGGCUUGUCCAU
RNAcentral lists this ribosomal RNA (183 nucleotides) under Actinacidiphila yanglinensis. RNAcentral's name for it is "Streptomyces yanglinensis Bacterial large subunit ribosomal RNA". It matches the Rfam family "Bacterial large subunit ribosomal RNA", at positions 2744 to 2925 of the family's 2925-position model. The record is from Rfam by way of RNAcentral. Lineage: Bacteria; Bacillati; Actinomycetota; Actinomycetes; Kitasatosporales; Streptomycetaceae.